RNAcentral lists this transfer RNA (73 nucleotides) under Rhipicephalus sanguineus (brown dog tick). RNAcentral describes it as "transfer RNA valine (anticodon AAC)". It matches the Rfam family "tRNA". From Rfam's summary of the family: Transfer RNA (tRNA) molecules are approximately 80 nucleotides in length. Their secondary structure includes four short double-helical elements and three loops (D, anti-codon, and T loops). Further hydrogen bonds mediate the characteristic L-shaped molecular structure. tRNAs have two regions of fundamental functional importance: the anti-codon, which is responsible for specific mRNA codon recognition, and the 3' end, to which the tRNAs corresponding amino acid is attached (by aminoacyl-tRNA synthetases). tRNAs cope with the degeneracy of the genetic code in two manners: having more than one tRNA (with a specific anti-codon) for a particular amino acid; and 'wobble' base-pairing, i.e. permitting non-standard base-pairing at the 3rd anti-codon position. The record is from Rfam by way of RNAcentral. Lineage: Eukaryota; Metazoa; Arthropoda; Arachnida; Ixodida; Ixodidae. RNAcentral also lists the same sequence under 1 other name.
GUUCUUGUGGUGUAGUGGUUAUCACAUCCGCCUAACACGCGGAAGGUCCCAGGUUCGAGCCCUGGCAGGAACA